This 497-nucleotide ribosomal RNA is filed under the name uncultured bacterium. RNAcentral's name for it is "partial 16S ribosomal RNA". It matches the Rfam family "Bacterial small subunit ribosomal RNA", at positions 28 to 507 of the family's 1533-position model. The record is from RNAcentral.
GAUGAACGCUGGCGGCGUGCCUAAUACAUGCAAGUCGAGCGAACGGACGAGAAGCUUGCUUCUCUGAUGUUAGCGGCGGACGGGAGAGUAACACGUGGAUAACCUACCUAUAAGACUGGGAUAACUUCGGGAAACCGGAGCUAAUACCGGAUAAUAUUUUGAACCGCAUGGUUCAAACGUGAAAGACGGUCUUGCUGACACUAAUAGACGGAUCCGCGCUGCAUUAGCUAGUUGGUAAGGUAACGGCUUACCAAGGCAACGAUGCAUAGCCGACCUGAGAGGGUGAUCGGCCACACGGGAACUGAGACACGGUCCAGACUCCUACGGGGGGCAGCAGUAGGGAAUCUUCCGCAAGGGGCGAAAGCCUGACGGAGCAACGCCGCGUGAGUGAUGAAGGUCUUCGGAUCGUAAAACUCUGUUAUUAGGGGAGAACAUAUGUGUAAGUAACUGUGCACAUCUUGACGGUACCUAAUCAGAAAGCCACGGCUAACUACGUG